GAAAAGAACUAACAAGGAUUCCCUCAGUAACGGCGAGUGAACAGGGAAGAGCCCAGCACCGAAGCCUGUGGCCAUUUGGUCAUUAGCAUGUGGUGUUCAGGUCAAUCCGCAGAGGCACUGCUCCACUCUAAGUCCAGCAAUGAGUACGGUAGUAUGGACAUGGCCCAUGGAGGGUGAAAGGCCCGUAAGGGUGGAGUUUCGGCAGGCCAGUGCCUCUCUGGAUCGACCUUGGAGUCGGGUUGUUUGGGAAUGCAGCCCAAAGUGGGUGGUAAACUCCAUCCAAGGCUAAAUACAAGCACGAGUCCGAUAGCGAACAAGUACCGUGAGGGAAAGUUGAAAAGUACUUUGAAGAGAGAGUAAACAGUGCGUGAAACCGCUCAGAGGUAAACGGGUGGAGUUGAACUGCAGGCUCUGUGAAUUCAGCUGGUGAGGAUGGCUUGGCUGGUCAAAUGAGUUGGACGCUGAGGUAUGCUUAGCUGCAUGUUCCGGCCUUUCGGUUGGGAUGCGCGUUGCGCUUAUCACGCGCUGCGCGCCUUGGUUGUUCCUCCGGCCCCCUUGCCGGUGCAUUUUCUCAGAGUGAUCACCACGACCGGCGCUGCUGUCGGACUGUUCUGGUUAAACCGGCCAUGCCUUGUCCUUGUGGCAUUGCUUGGUCGGGACGGCAGGUAGCUCGUCGGCUCGCGUUAGCUUGCCUUCGGGUGUAAUCAGCUGACCAAAAUGGGGUUGUGCAGUGCGUCGGAGACGGUGGCUUGUGGUGUGUGCGUACGUGCCUAAUCCUCCGGAGUUUCCUGGUUUGGUUUCUAUGUUGCCUGUUCUGGCAGGCCUAGUGAUGGCUGGGAUUCUUUCGGUAGGUGGCUACGUGUGUGGCACUAUUCCAAGGGCCAAUAGUCUGUGGUGUUGUGGUAGACUAUCCACCUGACCCGUCUUGAAACACGGACCAAGGARAGUAACAUGUGCGCGAGUCAUUGGGCGUAACGAAACCCACAGGCGCARUGAAAGUGAAGGUCUGGCUUGUCCAGGCAGAGGUGAGAUCCUGUCGUUUCUCACGCGUGGUAUCACCAAGCAUCGAGCGACAGGCGCAUCACCGGCCCGUCCCAUGGCGUAGACAUGGUCUUCGGACUCGUGCACCGCCGGGGCGGAGCAUGAGCGUACAUGUUGAGACCCGAAAGAUGGUGAACUAUGCUUGCGCAGGUUGAAGCCAGAGGAAACUCUGGUGGAGGACCGCAGCGAUUCUGACGUGCAAAUCGAUCGUCAAACGUGAGUAUAGGGGCGAAAGACUAUCG
This 1283-nucleotide ribosomal RNA is filed under the name Degeneria halosauri. RNAcentral's name for it is "eukaryotic LSU rRNA". It matches the Rfam family "Eukaryotic large subunit ribosomal RNA", at positions 56 to 937 of the family's 3401-position model. Lineage: Eukaryota; Metazoa; Platyhelminthes; Trematoda; Plagiorchiida; Gorgoderidae. The record is from RNAcentral.